GACAGAGGGUGCAAACGUUGUUCGGAAUUACUGGGCGUAAAGCGCGUGUAGGCGGCCGCGCAAGUCGGGUGUGAAAGCCCACGGCUCAACCGUGGAAGCGCACUCGAAACUGCGCAGCUCGAGUCCUGGAGAGGAAGGUGGAAUACUUGGUGUAGAGGUGAAAUUCGUAGAUAUCAAGUGGAACACCGGUGGCGAAGGCGGCCUUCUGGACAGUGACUGACGCUGAGACGCGAAAGCGUGGGGAGCAAACAGG
This 253-nucleotide ribosomal RNA is filed under the name uncultured bacterium. RNAcentral's name for it is "partial 16S ribosomal RNA". It matches the Rfam family "Bacterial small subunit ribosomal RNA", at positions 524 to 776 of the family's 1533-position model. The record is from RNAcentral.